AACGAACGCUGGCGGCAUGCCUAACACAUGCAAGUCGAACGAGACCUUCGGGUCUAGUGGCGCACGGGUGCGUAACGCGUGGUAACCUGCCCUUAGGUUCGGAAUAACUCCCCGAAAGGGGUGCUAAUACCGGAUAAUGUCUUCGGACCAAAGAUUUAUCGCCUUUUGAUGGGCCCGCGUUGGAUUAGCUAGUUGGUAGGGUAAAAGCCUACCAAGGCGACGAUCCAUAGCUGGUCUGAGAGGAUGAUCAGCCACACUGGGACUGAGACACGGCCCAGACUCGUAAGGGAGGCAGCAGUGGGGAAUAUUGGACAAUGGGCGAAAGCCUGAUCCAGCAAUGCUGCGUGAGUGAUGAAGGCAUUAGGGUUGUAAAGAUCUUUUACCCGGGAUGAUAAUGACAGUACCGGGUGAAUAAGCUCCGGAUAACUCAGUG
RNAcentral lists this ribosomal RNA (433 nucleotides) under uncultured bacterium. RNAcentral's name for it is "partial 16S ribosomal RNA". It matches the Rfam family "Bacterial small subunit ribosomal RNA", at positions 29 to 507 of the family's 1533-position model. The record is from RNAcentral.